Molecule: ribosomal RNA, 492 nt
Filed under: uncultured bacterium
Lineage: Bacteria
Description: partial 16S ribosomal RNA
Rfam family: Bacterial small subunit ribosomal RNA
Source: RNAcentral
AGUGAACGCUGGCGGUAGGCCUAACACAUGCAAGUCGAACGGCAGCACAGUAAGAGCUUGCUCUUACGGGUGGCGAGUGGCGGACGGGUGAGGAAUACAUCGGAAUCUACUUUUUCGUGGGGGAUAACGUAGGGAAACUUACGCUAAUACCGCAUACGACCUACGGGUGAAAGCAGGGGAUCUUCGGACCUUGCGCGAUUGAAUGAGCCGAUGUCGGAUUAGCUAGUUGGCGGGGUAAAGGCCCACCAAGGCGACGAUCCGUAGCUGGUCUGAGAGGAUGAUCAGCCACACUGAAACUCAGACACGGUCCAGACUCCUACGGAAGGCAGCAGUGGGGAAUAUUGGACAAUGGGCGCAAGCCUGAUCCAGCCAUACCGCGUGGGUGAAGAAGGCCUUCGGGUUGUAAAGCCCUUUUGUUGGGAAAGAAAAGCAGCAGGUUAAUACCCCGCUGUUCUGACGGUACCCAAAGAAUAAGCACCGGCUAACUUCGUG